UACGUAGGGGGCAAGCGGUGUCCGGAAUUAUUGGGCGUAAAGCGCGCGCAGGCGGUUAAUUAAGUCAGAUGUGAAAGGCUACGGCUCAACCGUAGAGUUGCAUUUGAAACUGGUUAACUUGAGUGCAGGAGAGGUAAGUGGAAUUCCCGGUGUAGCGGUGGAAUGCGUAGAGAUCGGGAGGAACACCAGUGGCGAAGGCGGCUUACUGGCCUGCAACUGACGCUGAGGCGCGAAAGCGUGGGGAGCGAACAGG
Molecule: ribosomal RNA, 253 nt
Filed under: uncultured bacterium
Lineage: Bacteria
Description: partial 16S ribosomal RNA
Rfam family: Bacterial small subunit ribosomal RNA
Source: RNAcentral